RNAcentral lists this ribosomal RNA (480 nucleotides) under uncultured bacterium. RNAcentral's name for it is "partial 16S ribosomal RNA". It matches the Rfam family "Bacterial small subunit ribosomal RNA", at positions 30 to 523 of the family's 1533-position model. The record is from RNAcentral.
AUUGAACGCUGGCGGCGUGCUUAACACAUGCAAGUCGAGCGGAAAGGCCACUUCGGUGGUACUCGAGCGGCGAACGGGUGAGUAACACGUGAGUAAUCUGCCCUUGGCUUUGGGAUAGCCACCGGAAACGGUGAUUAAUACCGGAUAUGACCACUACACGCAUGUGUUGGUGGUGGAAAGUUUUUCGGCCAGGGAUGUGCUCGCGGCCUAUCAGCUUGAUGGUGAGGUAAUGGCUCACCAUGGCUUCGACGGGUAGCCGGCCUGAGAGGGUGAACGGUCACACUGGGACUGAGACACGGCCCAGAAUCCUACGGGAGGCAGCAGUGGGGAAUAUUGGACAAUGGGCGGAAGCCUGAUCCAGCAGCGCCGCGUGAGGGAUGACGGCCUUCGGGUUGUAAACCUCUUUCAGCAGGGACGAAGCGUGAGUGACGGUACCUGCAAAAGAAGCACCGGCCAACUACGUGCCAGCCGCCGCCGUAA